AGUUAAUUAAGUUAAAUAGACUAUAUAUCUUCAAAAUAUAAAGUGGUGUUAGCCAUUAACUG
Molecule: transfer RNA, 62 nt
Filed under: Neobenedenia melleni
Lineage: Eukaryota; Metazoa; Platyhelminthes; Monogenea; Capsalidea; Capsalidae
Description: tRNA-Trp
Source: RNAcentral